This 3020-nucleotide long non-coding RNA is filed under the name Triticum aestivum (bread wheat). RNAcentral describes it as "long non-coding RNA (TAES_LNC000035)". Lineage: Eukaryota; Viridiplantae; Streptophyta; Magnoliopsida; Poales; Poaceae. The record is from RNAcentral.
GAUUCCAAAAAAGAUAGCAAGAUGGCACAUGGAUUUAAGAUGUACUUAAACCGAAACAAUCCAUAUUUUCUGGAGAAAUUGCAGAGCAGCACAACAAAGGUUACAUGUUUUCUAUAGUUGAGAGAAACAAGUUCAUAUUAUCAACAGUACACCCACCACGCCAAGUUCUUAACUGAACAUAUGCAUUUGUUUCGGAGAUGGUGUUACAUCCUGUGAUAUAAAUGAAAAUUACAGCAAAACAAAAAACCUGCAAGAGAAGCAUUUUGCCAAACCAAAAGAUAAUUGAACCAUUGGAUCUUGAGCCGAUGUACUGCAUGCACUUCUUUGUUUGUACGGGAUGCACCUCUCUUUUGUGGUUCAUAUACUGAAGAUCCUUCAAUUCAGUUAUCAACACACCGCAACAGUCAUGCUUGCCACCUAUCUUUUGGAUGCACUCCCUUGUCAUUUUCUAUUGCUAAUUAGAGCACAUCAGGAGCACCGACUCAUGUGCGAAUGUGUAGCUCGCUUCAGACUAGACAGUACUCUAGCAAUACCUGUGCAAUUGAGCAACAAGUUCAGAACAGGAGAAGCAACCAGGAAUCAUUCGCACGAAGAGUACUAAAUAAAAAUAAGAAUUGCACUGAUCUAAAGUUAGUUUUAAACUGAGGGUGUCACUUUGGUGUGUGAUCAUUUCUUGUGAACAUUCAAUUAAACAUGUUUGGUGUCACUUGAUGCAAGAAGGUGGUGUCAAUCAAACAAUAGCUUUAUUUGGCAACAAAGAAACAUCAAGAAGGAUAUUUCAUUUCUUGUAAGCAAAUCAACAAAAACCUUAUUUCACAACAAGUAGAGAUGAAGUAGCAUCACCAGUACAUAUAGGAGACUCAUAGGCGAACUCUUAAUAUACAAGCAAAAUAGGACACUAGCUUUGUUUCCACACUUGUAAAAGCAUCAGCAAUGCAACCAACAGCAGUACAGAAUCAGCCAUUACACGAGUUCGAUAAUGCCACAACAUGAAAAGAGGAAUGGGGAAGGCCAGACCUCGUCGUUGUGUCAUUGAACGGCCUCAGCUAUCGACCGUGAACGGACUGUGGCGCCGGCGGUGAACACCACAUUGGAAGAAUGCUCAUGGGUGCACCUGCCUCUACUCAUGAGCGCCUGCAUCAAUGUGGGUUCAGCAUUCUGAACUACUGCAACACUAGCCACCCGCAUCAGAAUAACCUUUUGGUGCAAAACUAUUGUACAAUAAAAACACUCGGUUUUAUUUUGCACACACACACAUAGUACUGUCAUAUGUGUUUUUCACAAACUGAUGAUAGUUCACAUACUAAACUGGCACACCUAGUUUGUGUUUCAGGAAAUAAAAUAGAUGUCCUCGAGGUGAGUUUAUGAGGGAGGGUCCAGAGCCUCAGUAUGAUCCGGACCACGGCUGGAGCUGCGGAUGGUAGUGAAGCUCCACAUCCUCCGUCAUCGGUGAGCUCCGACCAUUGAUCACACGACGGAGGAAGCCAUGUACUGAUGAGAAUUCACAUAUUGAACUGGCACAGCUAGUUUGUGUUUCAGGAAAUAAAAUAGAUGAUAGUUCGUUUAUGAUGAUGAUAUUUCAGCAUUUCUUCCCAUGGCAGAAAAUCACCUGAAUCUUAAAAAGGACUGGAAAUCACAAAAUAAAAUGCAUUCAAGUAGCAAAAUUAGGAAGGGAUCAGAUAACACAUUUUAAUUUGAGCAACUUCUUAGUGGGACAUCACUUACAACUGCAGCGCUGGUUAACAAUUGUUAGACAUAUUGAUUGCUCAAAUAUAACGUAGGACUGAGAAUUCGUGUUUGUUCAGCAUGAAUUUUGAGAACUAAUUAAUCCCUAGAGGCUGGAUGAUCUUCUAUAGGAGUAAUUACUUGUUCUAUGAUCUCUGUCUUGAUGAGAUGUAAAGACUAGGUUCAGUUCCAAAAAAGUUAUUUAGCUUUCACUAUGGUUUACUGGCCUUUGCUGUGCAUUUCCAAGAUCAAAUGAAGUGUCAAAUGACCUGUUUUCACCAGUGUUGAUGUGGCUGUUGUAUUUCCCAUUAAGUAUGACGAGCUGACUGAAGAACAUUUCUGUACUACUGUAUUCAACUUUGAAGCUAAAUGAAAAUUGGUACAUAGUUUAUGACAGUAUGUUACGCUCAAAUUACAGCAAGAUAAUCAGAUGAAAAUACACUUUUGGAUCUGAUAACAAAUACGAGCAAUUUGGUGUUGUUCUGCCUGUCAUUACAACUACCAUUUUUACAAGAAAACCAAAAUCAUGUGGUCCUAUGGUUUGAUCUUUAACAUGCAAGUUGGCUUGUACAUGCUGAGAUGAGUUAUCUAAUAGAUCAUGGCAGCACAUGCUGAGACUUCAAUAUCUAACCAUCAAGCCUGAGCAUUAUCAUGUGCAUUGACUUAUACUACAAUAUCAUGUAAUAGUACAUUUUCAUCAACUCGAUAUUCAUCGGUACUAGUAUGCGUGGACAAUAAGUUCAGAUUUGUAGCAGCACACGCACGAAACUUACCGAUUUUUUCACUGGACUUGCAGAACUUUGAAACUUGAACUUCACAAAACCGGCGACCCCUCCCUUGAGCUAGCUGUAUCCUGGCCGCGACCACCACCUGGAUCCAGGACGAGGUGACCACCUGGAGCUGCCCAGGCUACCCGGUGGUGGGGAUCCAGCGGGGGCCUGUUCUGUGGCGAGCAUGGUGGCUUGUUGGCCUUGGCGGCCUACGCGCUCGAUGGUGGUAUACGAUAGGCGGAGCGCGGUGGAGGGAGUGAAGGGAGGGCCGGACAAGGAGAAGGAUCGCAGACGGACAGGAGAAGGGUCGCGAACGGAGGGAGGCGGGUGGAUGGACGCGACCAGCAUCCGAUGGAGGGAGUUGCCGAUGCUGUGGGGUGGAGGGAUCUGCAUCACCGGUCGUGGUGCGCGUCGUCGGGAGGAACUGCGAGGGGCGUCGCCGUGGAGUGGGGGGUGCGGUGCGCGUCACCGGAGUAGGCGUCGCGCAUUGCCGGGAGGUGGGGAGGCGUAUCACCGGGACUUGGG